Molecule: ribosomal RNA, 253 nt
Filed under: uncultured bacterium
Lineage: Bacteria
Description: partial 16S ribosomal RNA
Rfam family: Bacterial small subunit ribosomal RNA
Source: RNAcentral
UACAGAGGGGGCAAGCGUUAUUCGGAAUUACUGGGCGUAAAGCGCACGUAGGCGGCUCUUUAAGUCGGAGGUGAAAUCCUGGAGCUCAACUCCAGAACUGCCUUCGAUACUGUAGAGCUUGAGUUCGGGAGAGGUGAGUGGAACUGCGAGUGUAGAGGUGAAAUUCGUAGAUAUUCGCAAGAACACCAGUGGCGAAGGCGGCUCACUGGCCCGAUACUGACGCUGAGGUGCGAAAGCGUGGGGAGCAACCAGG